Molecule: ribosomal RNA, 603 nt
Filed under: Hypoxylon cf. archeri S86
Lineage: Eukaryota; Fungi; Ascomycota; Sordariomycetes; Xylariales; Hypoxylaceae
Description: eukaryotic LSU rRNA
Rfam family: 5.8S ribosomal RNA (bases 235-388)
Source: RNAcentral
AUGGGGGGACCGCGGAGGGACAUUAACGAGUUAAACAAAACUCCAAACCCUUUGUGAACCUUACCAAAGUUGCCUCGGCGUGAGCUGCGGUUACCCCGUAGUUACCCUGGAAGCGUCUACCCUGUAGGUGCUUACCCUGGAGCUACCCUGUAACCGGCUAACGGCCCGCCGAAGGACCACUAAACUCUGUUUUUACCCAAGUGUAUCUCUGAAUGCUUCAACUAAAUAAGUUAAAACUUUCAACAACGGAUCUCUUGGUUCUGGCAUCGAUGAAGAACGCAGCGAAAUGCGAUAAGUAAUGUGAAUUGCAGAAUUCAGUGAAUCAUCGAAUCUUUGAACGCACAUUGCGCCCAUUAGUAUUCUAGUGGGCAUGCCUAUUCGAGCGUCAUUUCAACCCUUAAGCCCUGUAGCUUAGCGUUGGGAGUCCGCUAAUUUUAGCGGUUCCUUAAAGUUAUUGGCGGAGUUAUAGCGUACUCUAAGCGUAGUAAUUUUUAUCUCGCUUCUGUAGUGGCCCUAACUGUUAGCCAUAAAACCCCCUAUAUUUUUCUAAUGGUUGACCUCGGAUUAGGUAGGAAUACCCGCUGAACUUAAGCAUAUCAAAAA